RNAcentral lists this long non-coding RNA (2402 nucleotides) under Homo sapiens (human). RNAcentral's name for it is "HSALNT0069008". Lineage: Eukaryota; Metazoa; Chordata; Mammalia; Primates; Hominidae. The record is from RNAcentral.
AGGGGACAAAACUCUGGGAUUCAGAGAUACCCAUUUCAUAGACAUAAUUGCCCGUUGUUUCUGCAGUGACACAAUGCACAGGGUCCUCCUGUAAUCUCAGCCCUCUUCCACCAAAGUCUUGAGCCCUGCUAUGCCUCCCCCUCACCCCAACCAGAACUUAUGUCGUUUGACACAGUCUCUGCUCAUCAUUCCCUCCUGGUUUCCUUGAGAAUGGGUCUCAGGCCACACCAGAGGCACCUGCCAGGCGACAUGCUUCUUUCUCUAAGAGCGCCUGGGUUCCCAGAGCAGCCUGCUAAGAUGGCAUUAUGGGGUGGGAUUAACUGAAAGCACCAGAACUUGCUUUUGGGUUCUCUCUCUGUUGGUUCACUUGAAUCUUGUUUGAUCAGGUUCUAACAUCUGUGGCUAACUGGGCAGCUCUACCCUUAUAGAGGGAAAUGUUGAUUUUGCUUUUUAUUAUCAUUUGUUUAUCUGCCUUUAGGGAAGGAGCAGACAGGAGAAAAUAAUAGAAUAUACCAUUUAUGCUGGGAAAUGCAUUGAGUCAACUUAAUUGCUCUACAGAAACCCUGGGCUUAAAUACUAACACCAUGAAGGACAAGAGUCUGUGUCUCCCCUCCCAAGAAGACAAAACAUGGCUAACUCAAAAACCACUGGAAAAGUUGGAGAAGUAUGGGAAAAUAAAUGUCUUGCUGAAGACCCCAGGCUGUGCUGUUUUGUUACAGCCAAAGACACUGACGUCUCUGUAUUUCUGAGAAUGGAAUGCGCCUGGCAUGCAGUACAUUUUGGCAGAGUUGAUGAGCUGGCCAUCACAGUCUCUGCUCCUCUUCAAAGGCAGAGAGCACAUGCUGGGAAGUAGCUACCCAACUGGGGAUGACACUUCCCAGGCCGUGGAUCUGGGCAGAUGGCUCAGUCCUGGACUCAAGGCCUCCUCGGGGUGCUUGCUCUGGGCUCCUCUAAAGUAUGCAUGACGAGCCGUGGUCUCGAGGUUCAAAGGACACCAGGCUAAAAAGCGCCUUGUGAUGUCUCAAGACUGAACACCUUGCUGCGCAUACUGGCCACAGAGGUAGAGCUCCGAUAUCCCAAACAAGAAGUCCCAUGGCCUAACACUGCCUGGCACAGAAAGGAUCUGUUUUAAAAAUGACUGAAAAUGUGUCUGAUGCCUGGGAAACCAGAAGCCCGCCCAGGGCCAAACUCUGGCUCCACUCAUUAUGUGACUGUGGGAAAGUCAGUGAACAGUGUGCCUCAGUUUCGUCAUCUGUAAAAUGGGGAUAAUGAUGAUCCAUACCUCACAGGGCUGUCAUGAGGGUGCACUGAGCUGAUUAACGCAUGAAAAGUACAUGGAGGAGGGCCGGCACCUCAUGAGGGCUUUUUCCAUCUGUGCUCUUACUGAUGCUGCCAUAAUAUGUGUCACUCAUCUUAAGAACGGUAAAGGCCACCCUGGCUGUGUAGAUCUUCAGAAAUCUCCUUUCCCGAAACGGAGGGAGGGCACGUUAAACUCUCUCUGUUUGGCUUACCAUGGUCUUUCCCAUUAAAUACCUCUAAGCUCUGGCCCCUCCUGUCCUUCUCACUGACACCAAAGUUGUUUUUCUAAAAAACAGUGAGCAUAUUAAAUAAGUAAAUAAAUAAGGAGGCACGUGUUCUCAGGACCUCCUGAGGGUGUGUCAUGGUUAAAGAAAAAUAAAUUUUAAUUAAAAAAAUGUGAGUUGCAAACCCCCACCCCCAUGAAUCUGCCAUGGCUCCCUACUGCCCAAGACUAAAAUCCUACUCCUCAGCCUAAGAUCUUAGGCCCUCUUCUUUUGACUCCAUCCUGCUUUUCCACCUCUUCUUUCAUCCCAGCUCUGCAUUCCCCCUAGGUACUGGCACAUCACACGCUACUAACUUCCUAAUAUGCCACCAUGUGGGCACAGCCAGGCCUCUGUGUGUGUGCUUCAGCUCCCCACCUCCCUUUGACACCUGUGGAAAUUCUACACAUCCCUCAUGACUCAGCUCAAAUACCACCUCCUCCAGGCUGUCUUCCCUGAUCCCCAGAGUUGGAUACAUUAUAAACUCUCAACAAUGCUUGCUGAAUGAAUAAGUGAGUAAUGGGAUUCCUCCGUCCUCAUGUUCCCAUAGUCAGUGCUUGAACCCAUAUCAUUCUAUCCCAGGUGUAAGUUUCACAUAACUCUGCUCCACAAGCCAUGAGUGCAAAGGUUCUCCCCCACCUCUCACCUGGAUGUUUUGAUGAACUUUCAAGAUGAAGCAAGAGUCCAAAUUCCUAGCCCUCUUUCAAAGACAAAUAUCGACAAGCCAGAUCCCCAUCUUGGAAUGACGUCACAAUGACAAAAUCAAAGAUCACUGACUGUUGGCAGUGCUUACUGAAGCCAUCUAGGCCCCCUGGUUUUCAAACAGUUUUUAGCAACAGAAAU